RNAcentral lists this ribosomal RNA (253 nucleotides) under uncultured bacterium. RNAcentral's name for it is "partial 16S ribosomal RNA". It matches the Rfam family "Bacterial small subunit ribosomal RNA", at positions 524 to 776 of the family's 1533-position model. The record is from RNAcentral.
UACGUAGGUGGCGAGCGUUGUCCGGAUUUACUGGGCGUAAAGAGCGCGCAGGCGGCUGGUCAAGUCCGAUGUGAAAGCUCCCGGCUUAACUGGGAAAUUGCAUCGGAAACUGAUCGGCUGGAAGGUGGGAGAGGGUAGCGGAAUUCCCGGUGUAGUGGUGAAAUGCGUAGAUAUCGGGAGGAACACCAGUGGCGAAAGCGGCUUCCUGGCCCAUUCUUGACGCUGAGGCGCGAAAGCUAGGGGAGCAAACGGG